GGCAAGAUGGCCGAGUGGUUAAGGCGAGAGUCUUAAGUAAGCGGGCAAGUUCUUGCCUGACACUUGGAGAUCUCUUAUCGAAAGAUGCGUGGGUUCGAACCCCACUCUUGCCA
Aspergillus egyptiacus is the source of this 113-nucleotide non-coding RNA. NCBI's taxonomy places the organism in Eukaryota, Fungi, Ascomycota, Eurotiomycetes, Eurotiales, Aspergillaceae. The record is from the annotation of a GenBank genome assembly.